This 269-nucleotide ribosomal RNA is filed under the name uncultured bacterium. RNAcentral's name for it is "partial 16S ribosomal RNA". It matches the Rfam family "Bacterial small subunit ribosomal RNA", at positions 72 to 339 of the family's 1533-position model. The record is from RNAcentral.
UUGCUAGCUUGCUAAUAAUUCUCUAGUGGCGCACGGGUGAGUAACACGUGAGUAACCUGCCCUUCACAGGGGGAUAACCGGGAGAAAUUCCGACUAAUACCGCAUAAUGCAACGGAAUCGCAUGGUUCUGUUGCCAAAGAUUUAUUGCAGAUAGAUGGGCUCGCGUCCGAUUAGAUAGUUGGCAGGGUAACGGCCUACCAAGUCUGCGAUCGGUAGCCGGACUGAGAGGUCGAACGGCCACAUUGGAACUGAGAAACGGUCCAGACUCC